This 901-nucleotide ribosomal RNA is filed under the name uncultured archaeon. RNAcentral describes it as "bacterial SSU rRNA". It matches the Rfam family "Archaeal small subunit ribosomal RNA", at positions 459 to 1344 of the family's 1478-position model. The record is from RNAcentral.
CAGCAGCCGCGGUAAUACUGCGCCACGAAUGGUAAUCGUUAUUAUUGGGUCUAAAGUGUCNGUAGCCGGUCUAGCAAGUUCCUGGUGAAAUCUGGCAGCUAACUGUCAGGCGUGCUGGGAAUACUACUAGACUUGGGACCGGGAGAGGGUAGAGGUAUUCCAUGUGUAGGAGUUAAAUCCUUUAAUCCAUGGAGGACCACCGGUGGCGAAGGCGUCUACCUAGAACGGGUCCGACGGUGAGGGACGAGAGCGUGGGGAGCAAAUGGGAUUAGAUACCCCAGUAGUCCACGCUGUAAACGCUGUCCGCUUGGUGUCACGAAUCUUACGAGGGUUCGUGGUGCCGGAAUGAAGAUGUUAAGCGGACCACCUGGGGAGUACGGUCGCAAGGCUGAAACUUAAGGGAAUUGGCGGGGGAGCACACAAGGGGUGGAUGCUGCGGUUCAAUUGGAUUCGACGCCGGAAACCUCACGAGGGUUGACAGCAGGGUGAAGGUCACUCUAAAGGGGUUACCAGACGCGCUGAGCGGAGUUGCAUGGCCAUCGUCAGCUCGUACCUUGAGGCGUGCCGUUAAGUCGGUUAACGAGCGAGACCCACGCCAUCAGUUGCUAUCAUAAGUUGUUUGGAGCAAUCCAAAUUUCGAUUUGUGAGCACUCUGGUGGGACCGCCACUGCUAAAGUGGAGGAAGGUGUGGGCAACGGUAGGUCCGUAUGGCCCUAAUACCCUCGGCUACACGCGGCAUACAAUGGUUGGGACAAUGCGAUGCAACACCGAAAGGUGAAGCUAAUCGCCCAAACCCAAUCUUAGUUCGGAUUGAGGACUGUUACUCGUCCUCAUGAAGCCGAAAUCCCUAGUAAGCGAAAGUCAUAAUCUUUCGCUGAAUACGUCCCUGCCCCUUGCACAG